Molecule: long non-coding RNA, 1811 nt
Organism: Oncorhynchus tshawytscha (Chinook salmon)
Lineage: Eukaryota; Metazoa; Chordata; Actinopteri; Salmoniformes; Salmonidae
Source: Ensembl
CCGUGACUUAACAGUUUAAUGUAAAUCCAAGACAAAGUGUGAUUACAUUUCUACACAUAUACAAUAUGCAUAUGUGAGCAUACAAAUUCUCAUGAAUAACUCGAUUCACCUCGGAGACCGAAGAAAUGAUCAAAAGUAACAGUGAAUAACAAGCUAGAACAUAGUUCACCACAAUGCCAGCCCCUUCACCCUACAGUUAGUAAAGAGGGCAAUUCAAAUCAGUAUUUUCUUCUAUGACCAAGUUGUCAAUUAAAAUCCUCCUGUAAAUGUACAAUGCUAUAAUUUGUUUUUUGAAGCCUAUUUUAAAUUCACUCAAUUUUUCUACAACGAAAAUGAUUAAGAGAAGCACACAACAUCUUAAUGGUAACACAAGCGCUUAGUAGCCAAGUACUCAACUUGUUAGGAGUUCAAUUAAUCAUUCUUCUUAUUCUCAUUAUUAUAUUUCUUUAAACAUUCUAUAAAGCCAGUAAAAUAUCCAUUCUCACAACAUACUCAAUAAUAUUAUUCUAAGGAAUAUGGUACAUAUAAAGCUAUAUCAACAGAUAUUAAGGAGACAACAAACGCACUUUAAAAAAAUCCCCAAUAAAUGUAAAUGAGAGAGAAAAUUAACAAAGAAGUAUACUAGGAAAUACUGCAGCACAUAAUAGCCUGAACAACAAUGAGAUUUCAACACCAUUGAAAAAACAUACAGCAAUGGACACACAACAAGGACAGGUACAAUGCUCAUUUGUGGUUUGAGCUGGCAAGAAAUAGCUAAACAAUACAUUUUCUAAACCAAAUUGUUUCAAAAUGUGUGCAUAAUAGGAAAAUGAGACUUCUAGCAUGUCUUUAGCAAGAGGGUAGAAAAUAUGACAUGUUGGUUCUUAAGUACAUGUUUGAAAAAACUGUCCAAAUGACAACAUUUGACGUAUUCCAUUAAUGGGGGCAUCAAACCCUUGACCGCUGCGGCCUGAAUCCCCAAAGAAAAAACCUAAAGCAGGGGGUGAUUCCCUUGACAAACAUACAAACACAGACACAUCAAUAGUCAUACAGAAGGGCUUUAAAAUGUGUUAUUACUGGGUUACAGAGUUUCAGUGAUGCAUAUAAAAUAAAUAAUCGUAAAACAAGUACUUUUCCUACCUCCCUGCUUCUUUGGGAGAGUGUACUUUGCAAAGCUCUCAUGAAGGGGAGGAGAGGUUGUGUGAUUAUUCUAUUCUGGUAAGGUGGUAAAAUGAUUCAAGUCACUUCAGAGGGGUUUGACCUGAGAAGACUAACUGGCAAUGUGUGCCAUUCCUUCAGGAAUGUUUCACAAUAUUUCAUACAAGGAUCCAGAAAGAGCACUCGCAAUCACACUCUGGGAAAAGUUGGAAGCUGAACACUUCUUGUGUAGCGCAAGUAUUUCAAGAACAACAAAGUUGUAAAAAUACCAGGCUUCACCAAAAGACCGCUUUACACAGCUCUCUUUAAUUCAAACCACACCUUAAAGGGUAUGGUUUAGUUAUUUGGAAGGCAUUAUUCUAACAUUGAAAUGGCUACUGUAGCACGGGAGAGAUGAUGUUCAAAGUAAACAAACUUCAUUAGCACAAGAAUACCACAUUUUGGUAAUUGUAAGGAUCUACGUUGAUGCUCACAUUCUGAAUCAUAUUUCCCAUAAAACACAUAACACGUUAAACAACGUGGUACGACGCUCAAAUAUUUUACACAUUAAAAUGUUAUUUCAUUCCAAAUAUAGCAAGUCCAUUGAAACAAAAUUGAGUGUAGGGUCAAAAGGGCUUCUCGAAUAUUGCUAAAUAUAGAUUAUACUUGAAAAUGUUUUAAUAAAAUCAAAUAAA